Molecule: ribosomal RNA, 347 nt
Filed under: uncultured bacterium
Lineage: Bacteria
Description: bacterial SSU rRNA
Rfam family: Bacterial small subunit ribosomal RNA
Source: RNAcentral
ACAGAUCGUUCAGAGUUUGAUCCUGGCUCAGGACGAACGCUGGCGGCGUGCCUAAUACAUGCAAGUAGAACGCUGAAGUCUGGUGCUUGCACUAGACGGAUGAGUUGCGAACGGGUGAGUAACGCGUAGGUAACCUGCCUCAUAGCGGGGAAUAACUAUUGGAAACGAUAGCUAAUACCGCAUAACAGUAUUUACCGCAUGGUAGAUACUUGAAAGGAGCAAUUGCUUCACUAUGAGAUGGACCUGCGUUGUAUUAGCUAGUUGGUGAGGUAACGGCUCACCAAGGCAUCGAUACAUAGCCGACCUGAGAGGGUGAUCGGCCACACUGGGACUGAGACACGGCCCAG